UACGUAGGCAGCGAGCGUUGUUCGGAGUUACUGGGCGUAAAGAGUGCGUAGGCGGCGGCCCAAGUCUGGUGUGAAAUCUCCCGGCUCAACCGGGAGGGUGCGCCGGAAACUGGGUUGCUGGAGUGCCGGAGAGGCAGGCGGAAUUCCUGGUGUAGCGGUGAAAUGCGUAGAUAUCAGGAGGAACACCCGUGGUGUAGACGGCCUGCUGGACGGCAACUGACGCUGAGGCACGAAAGCGUGGGGAGCAAACAGG
This 253-nucleotide ribosomal RNA is filed under the name uncultured bacterium. RNAcentral's name for it is "partial 16S ribosomal RNA". It matches the Rfam family "Bacterial small subunit ribosomal RNA", at positions 524 to 776 of the family's 1533-position model. The record is from RNAcentral.